Long non-coding RNA from Arachis stenosperma, 1023 nucleotides. RefSeq lists it as uncharacterized. The transcript has 4 exons. The record is from RefSeq and is a predicted model, not a curated record. Lineage: Eukaryota; Viridiplantae; Streptophyta; Magnoliopsida; Fabales; Fabaceae.
UCUAAUGGCUAAAGGAGAGAAAGAAAACAAUUAAGAAAAAAAGAAGUUUCAAAGCGCUCGUUAUUGCUAUUUAUAGAGAAGGUGAUUUGAGGAGAUGAUGUCGCCGGUAUUUCUCCUCCAACAAUAUCGUCAGAGACAAAAAUUUUUCCAGGUUCCUGGCGUUGGUCCUCAAAGACUAAAGCAUUCCGCGCCAACCAAAUCUGCCAUAGAAGAUAAGCCACCUGAGCACUUCUGAUUCUGAAAUUGGGUUUUGAUUUCUUAACUUCUAUGAAUUGACUCCACCAAUCCUAAACUUUUAGGUUAGGGUCGCGGGAAUAGUGCUUGCUACUUCCAAAUUUGAAGAACUUCUGGGCAGAAGACAAUGGCAUGCAUCGGUGUCUCCGGCGCUGAUUGAUAGCGGGGACAAAGCCUGCUAACUUGUGGUUUUUCACAUUUCUGAGUCUGCAUAUCGGGGUGAAAGAAUUGUAAUUUGUUGGAUUUGCUGAGCUGUGUCGAGUGAGAAAGCUUCCAUAAGGAGUUGCUGAUUCCAUUCUCCCUCAGGUGUGAUUAACUGUCUAACCCAGGUACAGUUCAGAUAAGUUUGGUAGAGUUCGUGUGCAAGAAAAGGAAAGAGUUUGGAAGCUGUCCACUAGGGAGCUAAACGUCAAGCCUGGCGUUUAGCGCCAACAACACAGAACGAAAGAGGAGUUUCUACCCACAAGGGUGCUAAACGCUGCAGUUGGCGUUUAGCGCCAGCAAUCCAGACCACAUUCUCACUAUUGAAACAUCUUUAUUUGGAUUUAACUUUUAAUUAUUCUAUCUUAUUUUAUUUUGGUUAUUUUUAAUUACAAAGAAAAUCUUUUAGGUUUAGAAUUUAUUAUUUUAUUUUAGUUUCAAAUCAAAUUAGGUUAGGUAUAAAAGGGAAAAGAUUCUACCAUUAGGGGGAUUUUCUCACUUCCUCACUUUUAUAUUUUCUAAACCUUAGUUUUCUCUCUGAAGCAUGAGCUACUAAACCUCCUCAAUUAAGGUUAGGACUAUGUUUAU